UAACAAGGAUUCCCCUAGUAACUGCGAGUGAAGCGGGAAGAGCUCAAAUUUAAAAUCUGGCGGUCUGUUAGGCCGUCCGAGUUGUAGUCUGGAGAAGUGUUAUCGGCGUCGGACCGUGUACAAGUCUCCUGAAAUGGAGCGUCAUAGAGGGUGAGAAUCCCGUCCAUGACACGGACGCCCGAUGCUUUGUGAGGCACUCUCGAAGAGUCGAGUUGUUUGGGAAUGCAGCUCAAAAUGGGUGGUAAAUUCCAUCUAAAGCUAAAUAUUGGCGAGAGACCGAUAGCGAACAAGUACCGUGAGGGAAAGAUGAAAAGCACUUUGGAAAGAGAGUUAAAUAGUACGUGAAAUUGUUGAAAGGGAAACGCUUGAAGUCAGUCGCGUCCCGUAGAACUCAGCCUGGCUUCGGUCUGGUGUAUUUUCUAUGUGGACGGGUCAACAUCAGUUUUGGGCGGUGGAAAAAGGCAGAGGGAAUGUAGCGCCGCUUCGGUGGCGUGUUAUAGCUCUUUGUCAAAUGCACCGGCUGGGACUGAGGACCGCAGCACGCCCUUGUGGCCGGGGGUUCGCCCCACGUACCGUGCUUAGGAUGUUGGCAUAAUGGCUUUAAGCGACCCGUCUUGAAACACGGACCAAGGAGUCCAACAUGCUUGCGAGUGUUCGGGUGGAAAACCCUUGCGCGUAAUGAAAGUGAAAGUUGGGAAGCUCCGCAAGGGGGUGCACCGACGCCCGGCCCUGACGUUCUCUGACGGUGCUGCGGUAGAGCAAGUAUGCUGGGACCCGAAAGAUGGUGAACUAUGCCUGAAUAGGGCGAAGCCAGAGGAAACUCUGGUGGAGGCUCGUAGCGAUUCUGACGUGCAAAUCGAUCGUCAAAUUUGGG
Molecule: ribosomal RNA, 874 nt
Filed under: Inonotus rodwayi
Lineage: Eukaryota; Fungi; Basidiomycota; Agaricomycetes; Hymenochaetales; Hymenochaetaceae
Description: eukaryotic LSU rRNA
Rfam family: Eukaryotic large subunit ribosomal RNA
Source: RNAcentral